UGAAGGCUUAUACAAAAUAGUUUCCUGCAAACUCAAGUGGCUGGGAAGCCCAGCUGAAGGUUACUUCUACCCCAAGGCCAUGUCAGCAGAAAGUGGCCAACAGGACUUGGGCCUGAAAAAGCUCAGACUGAAUUUUAGGAGUGACAUCUGAAACUGCUGGUUUCUCACAAGGAAUAAAAGCUGUCUGGGAAGCUGGAGAGGCAGUGUGCUGUCUGGAGCAGGGACUUGCAAAUGGGAACAGUGAAGAGAGACAGCAUCUCCUUCCUCUGAAGAUUCUGUUCAGAAUGGAUAAAGGUUCAGCAUCCUCCCUGGAUGGGGCAGCUUAGCAGAUACAGGGUCUCGCCAUGAGCCACAGCACCUGGCCACUUCUCAUUUUUAAUACUGUAGACCCAGAGGAAAGCACUGGGAGGAAUGAGAAAGUAGCGACUAGACAAAAAUGAAAACUCUUUAAGAAGCAUUGCUGAAGUUACAGGGGAAAAAGAUUAAGACAACUGAGGUUAAGGGCCUGACUCCAGAUCACACAGCAAGGGAGAUGGCAAAAUCAAGAUUUCAACCCAGGAAACCUGCCUCCCAUGCCUAUGUUAAUCACUACACCCUUCCCACA
Molecule: long non-coding RNA, 604 nt
Filed under: Homo sapiens (human)
Lineage: Eukaryota; Metazoa; Chordata; Mammalia; Primates; Hominidae
Description: HSALNT0318783
Source: RNAcentral